This is a long non-coding RNA of Aegilops tauschii subsp. strangulata, 604 nucleotides long. RefSeq lists it as uncharacterized. The record is from RefSeq and is a predicted model, not a curated record. NCBI's taxonomy places the organism in Eukaryota, Viridiplantae, Streptophyta, Magnoliopsida, Poales, Poaceae.
UGAUUCCCUAUCAACUUGAUUUCAUUCACAUGAGUACCCAAUUUGUCUGGACAUUUCUCUAUAAAUGAACAAUUAUGUCUUAAAUGUUCAGUUAAGAUGAGUACUGCCAGUAAUAUCCCAUGUUCAGUAAAAAUGAGUACUAUUAUUUGUUUUCCCGUUCAUGCCAUUAAUAAAUCUUGAGCACAUGGUGCCUGAAAUUCAGUCACAUUGCUCUCUGCUACAUCUCCCCCUGUACCCUGCAUCACCAUUAUUAACUACACCCUCUCCUUGCUCCUCCUUCAUCAGUCCACUCCUUCAGUUCUUCUUCCUGCACCACCGCCAACGGCUCCACCAACAGCAGCUUUCCUCGCCACUCGAAGUGCUUCUCCACCAAUGUAAGAUGGCAUCCCUGAUCCAUGGCUCAUCCAGCCGUUCUGCCGACCAAGUCAUUGAACAAGCUUAUGAAAAAGAGGCAAAAUAAAUGUCAUGUUCUUAAGUGUACAAAAAGCACAACUAUCAUUUAAUAAUGUUCCCACCACACCAUGUAUCUGUUGCUUGUAUUCCGGUAGUAUGUGGCCAUAAAGAUGUUUUUGAGAAAUUAAUGUGAAGAUCUGACUAUAGUAAA